RNAcentral lists this ribosomal RNA (253 nucleotides) under uncultured bacterium. RNAcentral describes it as "partial 16S ribosomal RNA". It matches the Rfam family "Bacterial small subunit ribosomal RNA", at positions 524 to 776 of the family's 1533-position model. The record is from RNAcentral.
UACGGGGGAGCAAGCGUUGUUCGGAUUUACUGGGCGUAAAGGGCGCGUAGGCGGCCUCUGCAAGUCGACUGUGAAAUCUCCGGGCUUAACCCGGAAAGGUCAGCCGAUACUGCAGGGCUAGAGUGCAGAAGGGGCAACUGGAAUUCUCGGUGUAGCGGUGAAAUGCGUAGAUAUCGUAAGGAAGACCAGUGGCGAAGGCGGGUCUCUGGACAGUUCCUGACGCUGAGGCACGAAGGUCAGGGGAGCAAACGGG